AGUGAACGCUGGCGGUAGGCCUAACACAUGCAAGUCGAACGGCAGCACAGUAAGAGCUUGCUCUUACGGGUGGCGAGUGGCGGACGGGUGAGGAAUACAUCGGAAUCUACUUUUUCGUGGGGGAUAACGUAGGGAAACUUACGCUAAUACCGCAUACGACCUACGGGUGAAAGCAGGGGAUCUUCGGACCUUGCGCGAUUGAAUGAGCCGAUGUCGGAUUAGCUAGUUGGCGGGGUAAAGGCCCACCAAGGCGACGAUCCGUAGCUGGUCUGAGAGGAUGAUAGGCCACACUGGAACGGGGACACGGUCCAGACUACUGCGGGAGGCAGCAGUGGGGAAUAUGGGACAAUGGGGGCAAGCCUGAUCCAGCCAUACCGCGUGGGUGAAGAAGGCCUUCGGGUUGUAAAGCCCUUUUGUUGGGAAAGAAAAGCAGCAGGUUAAUACCCAGCUGUUCUGACGGUACCCAAAGAAUAAGCACCGGCUAACUUCGUG
RNAcentral lists this ribosomal RNA (492 nucleotides) under uncultured bacterium. RNAcentral's name for it is "partial 16S ribosomal RNA". It matches the Rfam family "Bacterial small subunit ribosomal RNA", at positions 29 to 507 of the family's 1533-position model. The record is from RNAcentral.